CCUACGGGAGGCAGCAGUGGGGAAUAUUGGGCAAUGGAGGCAACUCUGACCCAGCAACGCCGCGUGAAUGAUGAAGGUCUUCGGAUUGUAAAGUUCUGUGAUGGGGGAUGAACACAAUGACGGUACCCCACUAGCAAGCCACGGCUAACUACGUGCCAGCAGCCGCGGUAAUACGUAGGUGGCAAGCGUUAUCCGGCAUGACUGGGCGUAAAGGGUGCGUAGGUGGUUUAGUAAGUUGGCGGUGUAAUUCCGGGGCUCAACCUCGGCGCUACCGCCAGAACAAUUAGACGAGAGUGCAGGAGGGGUAAGUGGAAUGCCUAGUGUAGCGGUGGAAUGCGUAGAUAUUAGGAGGAAAAUCAGGGGCGAAGGCGACGUACUGGACUGGAACUGACACUGAGGCACGAAAGCGUGGGUAGCAAACAGGAUUAGAUACCCGGGUAGU
RNAcentral lists this ribosomal RNA (442 nucleotides) under uncultured bacterium. RNAcentral's name for it is "partial 16S ribosomal RNA". It matches the Rfam family "Bacterial small subunit ribosomal RNA", at positions 338 to 794 of the family's 1533-position model. The record is from RNAcentral.